UACGAAGGGUGCAAGCGUUACUCGGAAUUACUGGGCGUAAAGCGUGCGUAGGUGGUUUGUUAAGUCUGCUGUGAAAGCCCCGGGCUCAACCUGGGAAUGGCAGUGGAUACUGGCAAGCUAGAGUGCGGUAGAGGGUAGUGGAAUUCCCGGUGUAGCGGUGAAAUGCGUAGAGAUCGGGAGGAACACCAGUGGCGAAGGCGGCUACCUGGACCAGCACUGACACUCAGGCACGAAAGCGUGGGGAGCAAACAGG
This 253-nucleotide ribosomal RNA is filed under the name uncultured bacterium. RNAcentral's name for it is "partial 16S ribosomal RNA". It matches the Rfam family "Bacterial small subunit ribosomal RNA", at positions 524 to 776 of the family's 1533-position model. The record is from RNAcentral.